AACGUUUACCGCCUGAGGGGGACGCUGAUUCGCCGUGUGCAGGCCGCGAGUUGCUUGGUGUCCCAAGUCGGCACUUAGAAGAUAGUGGAGAGCGAUGACUGGGUCGUCAUCCUGACUUUGUUAACGUCACUUUACGUCCUGUCUACGGUUUAGUACCCUAAAGUGUGAUAUAUUCGACUUGUUUAUUCGAAGUGUUACUAUUCGACUUAACCUUGUCACCCCUGUGGCAUUUUGUGUGAUGAACACUGUAACCAAUUCUGACCCGAGCAACUCCGUUUCGGUCUUUGCGUCUUGGCCGAGAGCCUUUGCGGUGUCCCUCAGGUCUGACGUCUUAGCCGCGUGUUGAAGCCCUACCCGUAGUGAGAACUCGGUUCAGAUCACCAGUGACUCUGGGACUCACCCUCUUGAGAAGGAAUUCCUUCGUCCUUCGA
This 431-nucleotide long non-coding RNA is filed under the name Bos taurus (domestic cattle). RNAcentral's name for it is "long non-coding RNA NONBTAT021514". Lineage: Eukaryota; Metazoa; Chordata; Mammalia; Artiodactyla; Bovidae. The record is from RNAcentral.